CAGAAAAGGGCCAACCAUGGACUUUAAGGCAAUAGACCAUAGACCUUUCUUCAAAUCAUCUACUUUUUAAUUUAAAUAUCGACUUUUUUACUCUAAAAUUUUGUUUGGUAUAGUUAAUUAUAGUCUAAAAGAUUGAAUUAUGGAGCUAAUGACGAUGUUUUGCAUGGAUCCCAGAAAAUUGGUUGGAGUUGUGGAAGUUGAGAAGAAACAAUCCAUUAAUAAAAGCCAUAUGAAUGAAAGAAAAUGGUACCACCAUUUCAUAUCAUUCAAAUGCAUUAAUUCCUUCACGUGCCAACUACACAUGUCCAUCUGUAUGAGACACCCACACCGUUAACUCUCUUUCUUCUCUCUGUAUCUCUUUACCAUACUUAUUUUAUGAUCUUUCAUUAAUUGUUAGUUGUUUGGUGUUUGUUGUCAUCUCUAUUCCCCAGCUCAACUAGUGCCCAAUAGACUUCCUUCCCUUUCUUUUUAUGUAAUAUAUAAUUCUUCUCAUUCUGAUAACGCCUCUGAAUUCAUUUCUUUCUGGUUCGGAGAAUGGAGAUUGAGGUGGAAAGUAGUAGUAAUAGCAACAAUGGUGGCGGUGCUGGUGAUACUAGCAGCUAUAGCACUUGCCAAAGUAAUGCAGUCUCCUCAGUCGGUGGAGAGGAGAGAGGUACAUAUGUGGUGUGGGAGAAUCUGACUGUGGUGUUGCCAAAUUUUGGGCAUGGUCCAACCAAAAGGUUGCUUCAAGGGCUUAGUGGGUGUGCUGAGCCUGGAAGAAUCAUGGCUAUUAUGGGUCCUUCUGGGUCUGGAAAAUCCACACUUCUUGAUUCGCUAGCAGGUAGACUCUCAAGAAAUGUGAUAAUGACUGGAAAUGUUCUUUUUAAUGGGAAGAAGAGGAGGUUGGGGUCUGGCGUCGCUUAUGUGACACAAGAGGACGUAUUAUUAGGAACUCUUACAGUAAGAGAAACCGUUACUUAUUCAGCAAAUUUGAGGUUUCCAACUACCAUGACCAAAGAAGAGAUUUCUGAUGUUGUAGAAGGAACAAUCAUGGAAAUGGGUCUCCAAGAUUGCGCGGAUCGGCUAAUUGGAAAUUGGCAUUUGAGAGGAAUAAGUGGUGGCGAAAAGAGGCGACUUAGCAUUAGUCUGGAGAUAUUAACACAACCUCAUGUCAUGUUUCUUGAUGAACCCACUUCUGGCCUCGAUAGUGCUUCAGCUUUCUUUGUCAUUGGAGCUCUGAGAAACAUUGCUCUUGAUGGAAGAAUAGUGAUUUGUUCUAUUCACCAGCCAAGUAGUUUUGUCUUUGAUUUGUUUGAUGACUUAUGCCUCCUCUCAAGUGGAGAAACCAUCUAUUUUGGAGAGGCAAAGGCGGCCAUCAAGUUCUUUUCCCAGGCUGGAUUUCCUUGUCCAACAAGGAGAAACCCUUCAGAUCACUUUCUUAGGUGUAUCAAUUCAGAUUUUGACAAGAUAGCUGCGAAUCGAUUACGAUCACAAAAAGAUUUUGGAUCUCCUGAAUCUUCAAAUUCUCAAAUCAAUCUGAGCACAGAAGAUAUCAAAUCGGUGCUUAUACAAAAAUACAUGAAUUUUGCAUAUUCCCUAGACACAAGAAAACGGAUUCGAGAACUUACCCUUGAUCAUGAAGAGCUUGUGACUGGUCCAUAUAUGAACAAAGCCAGUUCGUGGAAGCAACUCUGCAUAUUAACUAACCGUUCAUUCAUAAACAUGACAAGGGAUCUAGCAUAUUACUGGAUACGGAUCCUAUUCUGUGUUCUAAUCGCACUUGGUGCUGGAAUUAUGUUCUUUGAUAUUGGCUUAUCAAGCUCAGCAAUCUUAGCAAGAGUUAAAUGUUACACAUAUUUUUUCGACUUCUUGCUUUGCUUGUGUGUUGGAGGCUUACCCUCUCUCAGUGAAGAAUGGAAGGUAGUGUACUAUGAAAGAUACAAUGGGCACUAUGGAGAGGGUGUGUUUGUGCUUGCCAAUUUCCUUUCAUCGCUCCCUUUCUUGGUGAUCAUCAGUCUAUCCUCUGGAAUUAUAAUCUAUUACAUGGUGAAAUUUCACCUGGGAUUCUCCAUCUGUUGCUAUUUCUGUAUCAAUCUCUUCUGCUGCGUUGCUAUUAUGGAGAGUAUCACAAUGAUUGUUGCAUUACUUGUACCCAACUUCCUGAUGGGAAUAGGCAUUACAGCUGCUGUGAUUAUGCUUUUGACGAUUGCAGCUGGACUCUAUAGGCAACUGGCUUAUCUUCCCAAGUUUUUCUGGCAGUACCCAAUGAGCUAUAUCAGUUUUACGGCCUGGGCUGUACAGGGUCAAUACAAAAAUGAUGUGAUUGGUCUCGAGUUCGAACCAUGGGUGCCUGGACAGCCAAAGCUUAAGGGCGAGAGGAUCCUUGAGACUGACUUAGGAGUCAACUCGAACCACUCCAAGUGGUGGGAUUUGGCUGCCCUUUCAUUCUUAUUUUUGUGUCACAGGUUUAUCUUUUUUAUGAUACUCAAAUACAAGGAUAGAGCCCUAUGGCUAUCGCGUAGGCUCUUUGUCAGACACAAUCUUGAAUCCUUGGCCAAUAAACUCUCAGAUUCUCUUGGAAGGGACAAAUACACCAUCUCCAAGAGACACCAACCUCUCCAUCCAUUGUCUUCUCAAGAAGGUCUAGCAUCACCAUUGCCUUAAAAGUGUAAUUUUCCAAUACCAUGGUAUUUAUAGAGAAAAAUGGUAGACAAGUACUUCCCCAACAUCAUACAUCCAUGUAAAAAAAAAUAAUUAUCCUGCUUGGUUGAAGAACAUUUCAUAAGCAAUCAAGCAGCCUGUUUGCUCAUUACAAGUAAAUCAAGCAACCACUGCUCUGCUUUGAUCAACUAAUUUAUUUCUCAAGAGUCAAUAUAUGACAUAGGCAACGCUGAAGCUCUGUCCAAAUUACAAAAUUGAAGGAAAUACAAGAUUGAAGAUUGAAAUCCGUAAAAUUGCUUUGGGAGCUCUGCAUGUAUAAUCUACAAUGUAGUGUUUAAUAGUACAAGGUAUCAUUGUAAGAAUUAUAAUGCAUUAUUUGGUUAUAACAGUUUGCUUGGAACAAAAUUGAAUGACAAAAUGAUGAUGGCAACUGCAAAAUAAGUGCUUAUAAUACCCUCAUUUAUUAGCUUCAAUGAAUUCUCUGUACUCUUUCUUCAUUUUAACUCCUGAUACAGUCCUGAGCAUAUCCUUGUUCUUGAAGAACUGCACACAUGGUGUACCCAUAAUUCCAGCUGCUUCUGCUAUUUCUGGAUCUUCCUCAAUAUCAAUUUCAACAAAAUGCACAUUUUGAUCAAAUUCAUCAAUCACCUUGCUAAGAAUUGGCUUCAAAGUCCGACAUGGACCACAAGUUGGUGACGUAUAUAGCACACAUAUGAGUCGUGGACUUUCAUGGUACAACUUUCGUAGAGCAUACUACGAAAGAAAAGGGACAGAAAAAGAAAACAAAUAAGGUUCAAGCUCAUAAUAAAUUAAGAAUCAAAUACAUGAGAACUUAAUGAGAUGCGGAAUAAGGAAGACUCCAAGAAGAUUGCAUCUUAUUCUAAGGUUGCAAUAUACACCUGGCCCUUGUGCUUGGUCAACAUGAUGUCAAAGCCCUCUUGAACAUCUCUGUCAGUGAGUUCCUUCUUAACCUCCUCAGUUGGAGGCUGAUGGAACUCUACAAGUAGAUCAUUGCUAACAAGAUAUCUCUCAACUGAUAAAGCAGCAAUACAUCCAGAUCCAGCAGCAGUUAUGGCUUGCCUCCAUUCAUGGUCCUGUACAUCUCCAGCUGCAAACACACCUUCAACAGAAGUUUUUGCAGAACCUUCGUCAACUAAUACAUAGCCUGUCCUGUCAAGUUCAACUUGGCCUUCCAACAGCUGGAUAUUAGGCGAAUGACCAAUGCCAUAGAACAAGCCUCUUGCCUCAAGUACAAAUUCUUCCCCAGUAUCAAAUUUUCUAGUCAAAAUACCAGACAUCUGCCCUUUAGUAUUGCUAACAACAUCCACCGCCUCUGUAUUGAAGUGCACGGUGAUGUUUGGAUUGCUGAACAAUCUGAAACAUUCGCGAUGAUCAACCUAUCUUGCAUUGCUUUAGAUGCCCUAAGUUGAUCCUUGCGCACAAGCAAAUGAACAUGACGGGCAUACUUGGUUAGGUAUAAUGAUUCCUCUGUAGUUGUAUCACCACCUCCAACAACGGCUAGAACCUGCCCCUUAAAACAGCGGUGAGGCUCCAUCACAAAUUGCACAAGCACUAAUUCCCCUACUCCAAAAUUCAUCUUCACAAGGUAACCUGAGCCUUUUUGCAGCAGCUCCUGUAGCAAAAAUGAGGCUGUGGCACUUAACCUUAUGUUCACUACUUUUCACAGUGAAAGGAUUGUUUUUAACAUCAACAGAUUCCACAUCUUCUUGGAACAGUUCAGCUCCCCAGUGUUCCGCUUGUCGUCGCAUCCUAGUCAAUACAAAAAGUCAAGAUUCCAUCAUAUAAUUUCACUUGAAACAACAGCUUCUUAUAUGCGUAUAUCAUCUGUUCCAUACAAGAACAAGAAUUCAA
RNAcentral lists this unclassified non-coding RNA (4512 nucleotides) under Hevea brasiliensis (rubber tree). Lineage: Eukaryota; Viridiplantae; Streptophyta; Magnoliopsida; Malpighiales; Euphorbiaceae. The record is from RNAcentral.